UUAGGGAACUUUUCCAAUGCGCGCAAGCGUGAGAAAGUAAGCCGGAGUGUUAUUCCUAUAUUUGGAAUAACUUUUGUUCAUUGCAAAAAGAUGGACGAAUAAGGAGUGGGCAAGAUCGGUGCCAGCCGCCGCGGUAAUCCCGACGCUCCGAGUCGCAGCCACAAUUAUUGGGUCUAAAACAUUCGUAGCUUGUUUGUUAAGUUCUUUGUGAAAUCUGAAAUCUUAAGUUUCAGGCGUGCAAAGAAUACUGGCAGACUUGAGACCGGAAGAAGCAAGAAGUAUGCUCAAGGUAAUGGUAAAAUAUGUUAAUCUCGAGCAGACUAACAACAGCGAAGGCAUCUUGCUAGUACGGAUCUGACAGUGAGGAAUGAAGGCUAGGGGCGCAAAGUGG
RNAcentral lists this ribosomal RNA (391 nucleotides) under uncultured euryarchaeote. Its description in RNAcentral is "bacterial SSU rRNA". It matches the Rfam family "Archaeal small subunit ribosomal RNA", at positions 339 to 727 of the family's 1478-position model. Lineage: Archaea; Methanobacteriati; Methanobacteriota. The record is from RNAcentral.